UCCUACGGGAGGCAGCAGUAAGGGAUAUUGCGCAAUGGGCGAAAGCCUGACGCAGCAACGCCGCGUGGAGGAUGAAGGCCUUCGGGUCGUAAACUCCUUUUGACGCUGACGAGGAAGGACGGUAGGCGUCGAAUCAGUCACGGCUAACUACGUGCCAGCAGCCGCGGUAAAACGUAGGUGGCGAGCGUUAUCCGGAUUUACUGGGCGUAAAGCGUGUGCAGGUGGGCUGAUAAGUGGUGUAUGAAAUCGCCGCGCUCAACGUGGCGGGGUUAUGCCAGACUGUCAGUCUAGAGGUCGAGAGAGGGAUGUGGAAUUCCGGGUGUAGUGGUGAAAUGCGUAGAGAUCCGGAGGAACCCCAGAGGCGAAGGCGGCAUCCUGGCUCGACACUGACACUCAGACACGACAGCAUGGGGAGCGAACGGGAUUAGAAACCCCGGUAGUCCAUGCCGUAAACGAUGCCAACUAGGCGCUGGCGGUCUCAACCCCGUCGGUGCCGCAGCAAACGCGAUAAGUUGGCCGCCUGGGGAGUACGGUCGCAAGAUUAAAACUCAAAGAAAUUGACGGGGGCCCGCACAAGCGGUGGAGUAUGUGGCUUAAUUCGAUGCAACGCGAAGAACCUUACCAGGCCUUGACAUGCAUUUCUAAGCGGGUGAAAGCCCGUGAGUCUCGAAAGAGAUAACUUGCACAGGUGCUGCAUGGCUGUCGUCAGCUCGUGUCGUGAGAUGUUGGGUUAAGUCCCGCAACGAGCGCAACCCCUGUGAACUGUUGCCACCGGCGCAAGCCGAGCACUCUGUUCAGACUGCCCUGUGAAACGGGGAGGAAGGUGGGGACGACGUCAAGUCAGUAUGGCCCUUACGGCCUGGGCUGCACACGUACUACAAUGCCCAGUACAGAACGAUCCGAGACCGCAAGGUGGAGGAAAUCUAUCAAAACUGGGCCCAGUUCGGAUUGGAGUCUGCAACUCGACUCCAUGAAGCCGGAAUCGCUAGUAAUGCCGUAUCAGCU
RNAcentral lists this ribosomal RNA (1005 nucleotides) under uncultured bacterium. RNAcentral's name for it is "bacterial SSU rRNA". It matches the Rfam family "Bacterial small subunit ribosomal RNA", at positions 337 to 1354 of the family's 1533-position model. The record is from RNAcentral.